CAGAAAGCUGGGCACCCUACCCGCACGUUUGGACGACUAACUCAUGUAUUCCGCUCCUGCAGAAAACAAAGUGACGACUCGGAGGAAUGUGGCGAAGAGGAAACGUUUGAAACACAGAAAGUUGAGCCCACAGAGGGAUACCUCCACCCUCAGCAAGCAGCUGGUCAAAGAGUGUCCACAGGUAGGCCUGAGGUCAAAGGGCAGCCCUGGAGAGCAAAGGCACACGUUCCACGGAACACACCUCCUGAGCUGCUCCCUCCAACAAAACAAUCCCAUUCCCCUGUCAGUCCCUUGCACAACGACAGAUAUCACCUUCACAUCUUGCAGCCUGAUAUUCUUCUUAUAAACUCCUUCACCCCCCUCCUAUCUCUGUCACCUCCUUCGGCCCCUACACCACUCCCGAACUCUG
Molecule: non-coding RNA, 409 nt
Organism: Chiloscyllium plagiosum (whitespotted bambooshark)
Lineage: Eukaryota; Metazoa; Chordata; Chondrichthyes; Orectolobiformes; Hemiscylliidae
Source: RefSeq, a predicted model, not a curated record